This is a long non-coding RNA of Thunnus maccoyii (southern bluefin tuna), 2938 nucleotides long. RefSeq lists it as uncharacterized. The transcript is spliced from 3 exons. NCBI's taxonomy places the organism in Eukaryota, Metazoa, Chordata, Actinopteri, Scombriformes, Scombridae. The record is from RefSeq and is a predicted model, not a curated record.
UUGUACACACUGCAAAGUUUGUAAAAGAAAUCCAUUCUUUAAAUUCUUUACAUUUAAUACUGGUGGACAUUUUACUACUGAUACUCAUUUACUCUUACUUAGUAAAAAUCUGAUUACAGGACUUUUACACUGAUAUGUGACUGCAGAAUUGAAUAUUUGAGGCCAUUUCCACCAGACAUAUUCUGACAAUUUAUUAAUUUAUCUUUUUUUUGUCUCCAAAUACAGGAUAUUCAACUAAAGGCCUUAUCCCCAGCCAAUGGACAGAAGAAGGUUUUUUACAGUUUGAUGAUCACAUUUCUAUUCAUCACCACAUCAGUCAAAAGUGUUUAAACUAAAACACAGAGAGCUUAAAUCUGUGAUUGUGUGACAUACUAACCAACUGAUCAACUAAAUACAUCACAACUGUUUUUUGCUCAUAUUUUCACAGAAUGACAAUGAGUCUGUUUUCUCUCUGAAGCCCCCAGAAAUGUUUUCAUGUUUCUAUUUUAUGUAUUGAGCCUUCAGCUCACCAGUACACUGUGUGAAAUGAUUUAAUUUUUUAACUUUUAAUCACUUUGUGUUUAAAAAGAGAUGGCAUUCAGAUUGAUAAUUAGUAAUCUCAUUUUAUUUUAAAACUUGUAAUUUUUCCAGUAACAUUUAACCAUCCCAUUGCCACACACUUCUUUGCUUAUUCCAACACAUAAGCAGCCUUUUGACAAAUACUAAUAUCAGAAGAAGUUAGUGAUAACAUAAUGCUACAACUCCAUUAAGCAAGUAUUAUUAAUCUAAUUCAGCCAGCUGUGGGGAUCCUGUGGUGCAAAACACAACAACAAAACCAAAAACACAACAACUGAAGUCACAACCCAAUAAUUGUUCUGGAAAAGCAUCAACUGUUGUCGCUACCGUUUUCCUUUUUGUUGUUUUGUUUUGCACCUCAGGGCUACCGUAGCCAGCUCACAUAGAAUAGAUUAUGAAGUGAAUGUAAAAUAUGUACAGUGUUAAUGUUUCGUGAAUAGAGACUGAUCUUGUCACUCCUCUUUAGGAACCACAGAACUCAGCUCAGCAGGGAGAGGGGAGCAACGCCACUAAACCCCAACCUCGGCGAACGCCAAGCCAUCAGGAACCACAGAGCGCAGCACAGCAGGGAGAGAGGAGAGACGCCACUGACCCCCCCACCCCUCAGAGAACACCAAGCCAUGAGAUGGGUGCUUUUGUUCUGUGGCCAAUUCAAUUGAGGAAAUAAAUACUGCGUUGAAGAUAAAUAGUAGGACUAUUAAAGAGGUAAAAAUGUAAAAUGCUGACAAUGCCACCUAAGGUUGUUAUCCCGAGGAUAUGGGGGCUGCAUUGCGUGUGGGUAUGUUAUGUUUCACCACAUCAGUCAUCCCGAAAUCUUCCUUGUGAGCAAAGAAAACCUUCUCCCAUCAGCAGAGUUGCUAAAUGACCCUGCUCAUCCUGGGCCAGGACUGGUUGAUCAGUGAGUUGUUGUUGGUUGUUCAGGCUGACGUUGUGUGCUUCAUGGAUGUCCAUUUCAUCUACCUGAAAUAGUCUGCAAAGCUUCUCGUAGCAUCCUAUGGAGACUGGGAAAUCAUUCACGUUACGAAUGUUAAUUGGAACUCAAUCUUGUCUUGCCACUGAUAUUGUUUGAGCUGCUGAAACAGCAACGGCCUCCUGGAGUGUCUCAACCAGCCCAUAGUAGUCACGCCCUCUCAUUCUGGCAUUGGCACAUCCCCAGACUACCACUUCACCCCAGGCUGGUAUGCUAACUCGGUGACAGUGGUCUGGCCAGACAUAACCUUGUAAACUAUCUUCUGAGGUCACUGUAGUCCUGCGGCACACUGAAACUUAGAGUUCUGGCAAGAGAAAGGCACUGGCCCAUCAGGGUUUCAUAACAGCAAGCUGGACGAAAACCCAUCAUCCACAAUAAAAUCUCCUCGCUAGUUAAUUUUAUGGCCCUCAAUUUCAAACUCCAUAGUGACAUAGUCCAGACAGGGGACAUGGGAACCAUUGGCAGCUUUAAGCUUAAUCAUUGAGGGAACUCUUUAACAGCAUACUCAGGGAAGUGCUUAACAAAAUUACCAUAUUAAGGUGGUUUGUGAGCCAAUUUCUAGAAGGCCUUUCAUUUUAAGAUCACCUAUUACCACCUCAACAUGUGGACAUUGUCCAGUCAAAGCUGAAGUUGGCCCUUGUGAGGUCUGUUUGGCCUAACCCAACUCCAACCUGUGUCCACAUCUGUCCUGUAAAAGUAGAGCCAUUUGUUGAAGGGCAUCAAAUGUUCUCUCUGGCUGUUGACGGGUAGAUCUCCUCAGUCCUUGUGUUAGGGGUCCCUCCUCCAGGCCCAGAAGGAACUGUUCUUUCAGGUGGUCGUUGGUGGCGGCCUCAUCUGGGUCAUGUUGCUGGAGCCUGCGAUGCAGCUCCCUUAACCUCAGAACUGAGACUGCACAGGUUCAUCUGCAAGCAAAGAACAACUAAACAAGUUUUUUUGUUGGUAAAUAACAAGGAGACAUUAGCAGGAAAGAUAAAAUAUAAAGAUUUCUCAGUUUCAAGAAUAAGGCCUUCACUGAGGUUCCCCAUAAAAAGAAAGACUGAUGACUAUUUUUCUGUUCGAUUGUAUUCUAUAUAGAUCCCGUGUAAUGAUUUUACACCAAUACAGUUAAACUUUUUCUAUAUAUUGUGUAAAACAAUAAUUAGUGUUUUUCACAGAGCUGUAACAGAAUACACAUGGCACAAAUGACAGAGAACAUAAAAAUAUAGAACAAGGAUUCUGUGACACCAAUUUCAUGUGAUCUGACUAAAUGUGUUUUCUGUCAUCACUCACUGUGUUAAAUGCUUUUCAGGAGGAAAGAAGUCCAGCUCCACCACCACCAGAGGAGCAGACCCUUAUGUAGCAGGAACCGGGUCCAUCAAACAAACAGUAACAAUUACUUCAUCAGUUUCUGGGAGAACUUUUGUCCCUCUGAGA